This 489-nucleotide ribosomal RNA is filed under the name Salinicola halophilus. RNAcentral describes it as "bacterial SSU rRNA". It matches the Rfam family "Bacterial small subunit ribosomal RNA", at positions 73 to 556 of the family's 1533-position model. Lineage: Bacteria; Pseudomonadati; Pseudomonadota; Gammaproteobacteria; Oceanospirillales; Halomonadaceae. The record is from RNAcentral.
GGGGAGCUUGCUCCCUGGUGGCGAGCGGCGGACGGGUGAGUAAUGCAUAGGAAUCUGCCCGGUAGUGGGGGAUAACGUGGGGAAACCCACGCUAAUACCGCAUACGUCCUACGGGAGAAAGCGGAGGAUCUUCGGACUUCGCGCUAUCGGAUGAGCCUAUGUCGGCCAUGCUAGUUGGUAAGGUAACGGCUUAUCAAGGCGACGAUCCGUAGCUGGUCUGAGAGGAUGAUCAGCCACACUGGGACUGAGACACGGCCCAGACUCCUACGGGAGGCAGCAGUGGGGAAUAUUGGACAAUGGGCGAAAGCCUGAUCCAGCCAUGCCGCUGAGUGUGGCAAGGCUUUCGGGUUGUAAAGCACUUUCAGCGAGGAAGAAAGCCUGUCGGUUAAUACCCGGCAGGAACGACAUCACUCGCAGAAGAAGCACCGGCUAACUCCGUGCCAGCAGCCGCGGUAAUACGGAGGGUGCGAGCGUUAAUCGGAAUUACUG